Molecule: ribosomal RNA, 443 nt
Filed under: uncultured bacterium
Lineage: Bacteria
Description: SSU rRNA
Rfam family: Bacterial small subunit ribosomal RNA
Source: RNAcentral
AGAGCGAACGCUGGCGGCAGGCCUAACACAUGCAAGUCGAGCGCCCCGCAAGGGGAGCGGCAGACGGGAGAGUAACACGUGGGAACGUACCCUUCAGUACGGAACAACCAAGGGAAACUUUGGCUAAUACCGUAUACGUCCGUAAGGAGAAAGAUUUAUCGCUGAAGGAUCGGCCCGCGUCUGAUUAGCUAGUUGGUGAGGUAAUGGCUCACCAAGGCGACGAUCAGUAGCUGGUCUGAGAGGAUGAUCAGCCACAUUGGGACUGAGACACGGCCCAAACUCCUACGGGAGGCAGCAGUGGGGAAUAUUGGACAAUGGGCGCAAGCCUGAUCCAGCCAUGCCGCGUGAGUGAUGAAGGCCCUAGGGUUGUAAAGCUCUUUUGUGCGGGAAGAUAAUGACGGUACCGCAAGAAUAAGCCCGGCUAACUUCGCGCCAGCAGCCGC